RNAcentral lists this long non-coding RNA (986 nucleotides) under Rattus norvegicus (Norway rat). Its description in RNAcentral is "long non-coding RNA NONRATT000769". The record is from RNAcentral. Lineage: Eukaryota; Metazoa; Chordata; Mammalia; Rodentia; Muridae.
AGAAUGGGCACCGGACAACCUACCUCUCAGGGCAUGGUGAGGUGUAGCGAUCGCUCUCAGUGCCGGGCAGCUCAGGUGACAGGGGCUUCCCAGAGACAAUUGGGGUGUAAGAAAGCAGGGUCCUGAACUCCCAAUCGGAUCGGCCCACCUCUGCGCCAGCAUGAUAGGCUGGUCAUGUCUCCUUUGAAGACACGUGUACAGUGAACUGUCGCUGGAGGGCCCCUUAGGAGGUGUGAUCACAUCCGUGCCCCAAAGGAAGGGACAGAAUUGACCCCUUGGUCACUGUGUCAGCCCCCAUUGGGCUGCUUUGAACCCAGCCUAGCCCCCUUCCAUAGUGUAGGGGCUGAGAGAGGCCGGGAGGGAAGGAAACCACCCCUAACCCACCUGCCUCUGUCAGGGUUCAGCCAGGUUAAAGGGCUCUCUGCUGGUGGAGACCCUUCCCAGAGCGGCCCUGCUCCUGGCUCCAUGCCACAUUGAGGGAGCAGCCAAGUCUCCGAGCAGUCUCCUCUUUGGUGCCUCCUACAUUUCUUGAGGAAAAUUUAAAAAAUAAUGUGUCCUUAGCUACCCUGUUUUGAGCAGCAAUAUGCAGCCUCUUCCUUCCAAGAUUACCUCUGCAGACCACUGUUCUUGGCCAAGGACACUGAGGAGCUAGUCCUCUCGAAAGAGCUAGCGAGCUUGCUUCCAGGAAAUAUGGAUAAGAUGGCUGAAAUCCUCACUAACAAAACAAUACUUUUAUAGCCGUGAGAGCUUUAGACUAACCAGCCCCUAAUAGCCCUAAGAGAAGAGAAAGCACCUGCUUAUCCUCAGAAAGUACAGGAGAGGGGUUACACCUUCACUGGAGCCAGCUCGUGCAAGGAUGCUUCAUCCCGUGACAUCCAGAGCAGCAAAAGCAAAAAAUAAAAAUUUUCAAAAGAUGGGGAGGGAUCUUUUUUUUUUUACUUGUUUGGAAAAUUAUAAUAAAACAACUGAGUAUCUCCUGUGAGUAA